This 255-nucleotide ribosomal RNA is filed under the name uncultured bacterium. RNAcentral's name for it is "partial 16S ribosomal RNA". It matches the Rfam family "Bacterial small subunit ribosomal RNA", at positions 524 to 777 of the family's 1533-position model. The record is from RNAcentral.
UACGUAGGGUCCGAGCGUUGUCCGGAAUUACUGGGCGUAAAGAGCUCGUAGGUGGUUUGUCGCGUUGUUCGUGAAAACUCACAGCUCAACUGUGGGCGUGCGGGCGAUACGGGCAGACUGGAGUACUGCAGGGGAGACUGGAAUUCCUGGUGUAGCGGUGGAAUGCGCAGAUAUCAGGAGGAACACCGGUGGCGAAGGCGGGUCUCUGGGCAGUAACUGACGCUGAACAGCGAAAGCUAGGGGGAGCAAAACGGG